RNAcentral lists this ribosomal RNA (497 nucleotides) under uncultured bacterium. RNAcentral's name for it is "partial 16S ribosomal RNA". It matches the Rfam family "Bacterial small subunit ribosomal RNA", at positions 28 to 507 of the family's 1533-position model. The record is from RNAcentral.
GAUGAACGCUGGCGGCGUGCCUAAUACAUGCAAGUCGAGCGAACAGACGAGGAGCUUGCUCCUCUGACGUUAGCGGCGGACGGGUGAGUAACACGUGGAUAACCUACCUAUAAGACUGGGAUAACUUCGGGAAACCGGAGCUAAUACCGGAUAAUAUAUUGAACCGCAUGGUUCAAUAGUGAAAGACGGUUUUGCUGUCACUUAUAGAUUGAUCCGCGCCGCAUUAGCUAGUUGGUAAGGUAACGGCUUACCAAGGCGACGAUGCGUAGCCGACCUGAGAGGGUGAUCGGCCACACUGGAACUGAGACACGGUCCAGACUCCUACGGGAGGCAGCAGUAGGGAAUCUUCCGCAAUGGGCGAAAGCCUGACGGAGCAAAGCCGCGUGAGUGAUGAAGGUCUUCGGAUCGUAAAACUCUGUUAUUAGGGAAGAACAAAUGUGUAAGUAACUAUGCACGUCUUGACGGUACCUAAUCAGAAAGCCACGGCUAACUACGUG